This 325-nucleotide long non-coding RNA is filed under the name Vulpes vulpes (red fox). RNAcentral describes it as "lncRNA (ENSVVUG00000012968.1)". The record is from RNAcentral. Lineage: Eukaryota; Metazoa; Chordata; Mammalia; Carnivora; Canidae.
GCUUUCUCAAGCAAAAUUUGAAUGGUUUCAACUUGGUUUCUCCAGAUCUAAGUGGUCCUACAAGCACAAUAUUUCUAUUCCCUCCUUCUCUUAAUUCAUCCAGCAAGAAGAGAAGCAAGAUUCUCUUCAAUCUGCCUUUCAAUGUAGUGGUUAAAAGUAAUCUUUGUGCCCUGCUACCUCAGAGUGUUCUGAUUUAGACUGCUAAAAUUAGAAGAUGGGGAGACUUGAUUUAAAAGAUGAAGUUUUCCAACUACAUGGUUAUUUGAGUUUCUUCGGAAGAGGGAGAGGAAAGAGAAAUAACCAGGUACCAUUUUACGGAAGGAGC